UUUACUGACGCUAAAGCUCGAAGGUGCGGGUAUCGAACAGGAUUAGAUACCCUGGUAGUCCGCACGGUAAACGAUGGAUGCCCGCUGUUUGCGAUAUAUUGUAAGCGGCCAAGCGAAAGCGUUAAGCAUCCCACCUGGGGAGUACGCCGGCAACGGUGAAACUCAAAGGAAUUGACGGGGGCCCGCACAAGCGGAGGAACAUGUGGUUUAAUUCGAUGAUACGCGAGGAACCUUACCCGGGCUUGAACUGCAGGAGAACGAUCCAGAGAUGGUGAGGCCCUUCGGGGCUCCUGUGGAGGUGCUGCAUGGUUGUCGUCAGCUCGUGCCGUGAGGUGUCGGCUUAAGUGCCAUAACGAGCGCAACCCCUUUCGCCAGUUGCCAUCAGGUGAUGCUGGGCACUCCGGCGACACUGCCACCGUAAGGUGCGAGGAAGGUGGGGAUGACGUCAAAUCAGCACGGCCCUUACGUCCGGGGCUACACACGUGUUACAAUGGGUGGUACAGAGAGCAGGGUGCACGCAAGUUCACCCGAAUCACGAAAGCCAUCCUCAGUUCGGAUUGGGGUCUGCAACCCGACCCCAUGAAGCUGGAUUCGCUAGUAA
Molecule: ribosomal RNA, 601 nt
Filed under: uncultured bacterium
Lineage: Bacteria
Description: bacterial SSU rRNA
Rfam family: Bacterial small subunit ribosomal RNA
Source: RNAcentral